RNAcentral lists this long non-coding RNA (1313 nucleotides) under Equus caballus (horse). RNAcentral describes it as "lncRNA (ENSECAG00000038414.3)". Lineage: Eukaryota; Metazoa; Chordata; Mammalia; Perissodactyla; Equidae. The record is from RNAcentral.
UGAGCAGCAGGCCACAGCUCAAUAGCUCUUAACAUCUCUUUUGGGGGUCAAAAUGGUGUAAUAUUCCAUCUGACAAUAUGCUUGCUAUUUCCCUGCUAAUCUCACAGAGUGGCAGAGUAAGAGCCUUGCUGUCUCAAGGCCAGGAACUGGCGAUGGCUGCCAUGUGGGCCGAAUGGGCCCUUUAACUGAGGAAGUCACAGGGUUCUCUGUAAAGCCUUUCCAAAAAUUUGAAAAUACAUUUUCUUUUCAAAGGGAAGGAAAAAGGCUUUUGGAAGUAAGUGCUUUUUGAAGAUGUUUACAUCAGCGGUGAAUCGGGAGUGAGGAAUUGAAAUGAAUUGGCUUACAUGAUUAUGGAGGCUGACAAGUCUCAAGAUCUGCAGACCUAGGCGGGGCCAAUAGGUUAGUUCCAGUCCAAAGGCUGGCAGGCUCAAGACCCAGGAAGAUCUUAUGUUUCAUUUUGAGUUCAAAGGCUGGAAAAAAUCGAUGUCCCAGCUUGAAGGCCAUCAGGCAGGAGGAGUUCCUUCUUACUGAUAGGAAGAUCCUUGCUUGCCUCAGACCAAACUUCAACCACACAUGGGAAAACAGACAGUCUUUACUUUUCUCAUUUCGAUGAGAGAGCUGUAACUGGGCCACAGGUCUGAAGGCUGGGACUUCCUGCCUGAUUCUGCUCUUCUGGGAACACAACACUGAAUGAAGGAGGCAAAGACUCUGCUCACCUACUUUACAAUGAGGGAUACAGUCAAUAUAUAAUUUACAGAGACAAAGGGAUCUGAAAUCAACCAGAAUAAAAUGACCACGGAGUAGACGUGUUACAAAGAAAAAGAGAGGAAAAUCGGCAACAAUAGUGACAACAAGAACAAAAUAACAAGAAAACUCCCACAAAGACAGAAGGAAGACAAUGCAGCUAGUGAGCAAAUUAGGAAUUUGAAAGCAUCUUCUGAGAGCUUGAAUGAUGAAUGUACUGAGGUUCCUAAGGGUGAGGUGAGAAGACCCAUCCAGCAUCACAAGACCCAUUCAAGGUGAUGUGGCUAGUUUGUGCUGAAGGCAGAAGUUUCCAGAAUUCCUGACCCUCAUGCUAUGGAACAGUCCUUGUGAGAAUAUCAGAGAUGAAUGAACAAGCAGGUGGAAGUUCGGAGGAAGACACGAUUAUAGACAAAAUGAAGGCACUACAUUUUCUCUGAUAAAAAAGUCUCUCAACAUUUUUAUAUCCUGUUGGUUUUCUAGGAAACGUAGACAUGCUCUGUAGGAAAUAAUCUCAAAAUGGACGUGAUGGAUUAAAGAUGGGGAAACAUGCCCUGGAAUGCCUAAUGGCA